RNAcentral lists this ribosomal RNA (366 nucleotides) under uncultured organism. RNAcentral describes it as "bacterial SSU rRNA". It matches the Rfam family "Bacterial small subunit ribosomal RNA", at positions 526 to 896 of the family's 1533-position model. The record is from RNAcentral.
CGGAGGAUCCAAGCGUUAUCCGGAAUCAUUGGGUUUAAAGGGUCCGUAGGCGGUUCAGUAAGUCAGUGGUGAAAGCCCAUCGCUCAACGGUGGAACGGCCAUUGAUACUGCUAGACUUGAAUUAUUAGGAAGUAACUAGAAUAUGUAGUGUAGCGGUGAAAUGCUUAGAGAUUACAUGGAAUGCCAAUUGCGAAGGCAGGUUACUACUAAUGGAUUGACGCUGAUGGACGAAAGCGUGGGUAGCGAACAGGAUUAGAUACCCUGGUAGUCCACGCCGUAAACGAUGGAUACUAGCUGUUGGGAGCGAUCUCAGUGGCUAAGCGAAAGUGAUAAGUAUCCCACCUGGGGAGUACGUUCGCAAGAAUG